Molecule: ribosomal RNA, 473 nt
Filed under: uncultured Anoxybacillus sp.
Lineage: Bacteria; Bacillati; Bacillota; Bacilli; Caryophanales; Anoxybacillaceae
Description: bacterial SSU rRNA
Rfam family: Bacterial small subunit ribosomal RNA
Source: RNAcentral
UUGACGGGGCCCGGCACAAGCGGUGGAGCAUGUGGUUUAAUUCGAAGCAACGCGAAGAACCUUACCAGGUCUUGACAUCCCUCGACAACCCGAGAGAUCGGGCGUUCCCCUUCGGGGGACAGGGUGACAGGUGGUGCAUGGUUGUCGUCAGCUCGUGUCGUGAGAUGUUGGGUUAAGUCCCGCAACGAGCGCAACCCUCGACCUUAGUUGCCAGCAUUCAGUUGGGCACUCUAAGGUGACUGCCGGCUAAAAGUCGGAGGAAGUGGGGAUGACGUCAAAUCAUCAUGCCCCUUAUGACCUGGGCUACACACGUGCUACAAUGGGCGGUACAAAGGGUCGCGAACCCGCGAGGGGGAGCCAAUCCCAAAAAGCCGCUCUCAGUUCGGAUUGCAGGCUGCAACUCGCCUGCAUGAAGCCGGAAUCGCUAGUAAUCGCGGAUCAGCAUGCCGCGGUCGAAUACGUUCCCGGGCCUU